This 544-nucleotide long non-coding RNA is filed under the name Homo sapiens (human). Its description in RNAcentral is "HSALNT0342299". The record is from RNAcentral. Lineage: Eukaryota; Metazoa; Chordata; Mammalia; Primates; Hominidae.
UGACCUCGUGAUCCGCCCACCUCGGCCUCCCAAAGUGCUGGGAUUACAGGCAUGAGCCACCGCACCUGGCCAUAAAUGGGGCAGCUUUAAGGAAGUGCUGUGGAACAUCAGAUAGAAUGGAUAGCACAGCCCAAAUUUUACAAAAAGGAUUUUAAAGGAAGAUCUCAAUGGUGGAACACUAGAGGCUUUCCUGCUAAAGUUAAGAACAAGCAAAGGCUGACGCAGUUUUGGCAUGCAGGAAGUGUUGGAGCUGAGACUCGAAACUGUCCCCCAGGCCUUGGCCAUGCUGAUAAAUAUCUAGGCCCUACAGGAGUUCGUGUCCAUGAACCCAGUAAACGCAAUUCCUCAGCCUUAAAAUCUAGUCACUGACUCAUUUCAGGCCCCAGCACAGACGAAAACAAGCCAUUCUGUUUGCCCAGUUUACAUUGCGGGUCUCCAAGAAGUGGAAUGUUCACCAAUGAUUUUAAGAAAACAGGGCCUGGCGCGGUGGCUCACGCCUGUAAUCCCAGCACUUUGGGAGGCCGAGGCAGGCAGAUCACCUGAG